GAGCCGGACAUAAAGAGCUGCUAACUCCUUCCCCC
RNAcentral lists this transfer RNA (35 nucleotides) under Uroplatus kelirambo. Its description in RNAcentral is "partial tRNA-Ser". Lineage: Eukaryota; Metazoa; Chordata; Lepidosauria; Squamata; Gekkonidae. The record is from RNAcentral.